This 446-nucleotide ribosomal RNA is filed under the name uncultured bacterium. RNAcentral describes it as "bacterial SSU rRNA". It matches the Rfam family "Bacterial small subunit ribosomal RNA", at positions 329 to 792 of the family's 1533-position model. The record is from RNAcentral.
CUCCAGACUCCUACGGGAGGCAGCAGUGGGGGAUAUUGCACAAUGGGGGGAACCCUGAUGCAGCGACGCCGCGUGGGUGAAGAAGCGCCUCGGCGCGUAAAGCCCUGUCAGCAGGGAAGAGAGUGACGGUACCUGAGUAAGAAGCCCCGGCUAACUACGUGCCAGCAGCCGCGGUAAUACGUAGGGGGCAAGCGUUAUCCGGAUUUACUGGGUGUAAAGGGAGCGUAGACGGCGAAGAAAGUCUGGAGUGAAAGCCCGCGGCUUAACCGCGGAACUGCUUUGGAAACUUUUUGGCUGGAGUACCGGAGAGGUAAGCGGAAUUCCUAGUGUAGCGGUGAAAUGCGUAGAUAUUAGGAGGAACACCAGUGGCGAAGGCGGCUUACUGGACGGUAACUGACGUUGAGGCUCGAAGGCGUGGGGAGCAAACAGGAUUAGAUACCCUUGUA